Molecule: ribosomal RNA, 253 nt
Filed under: uncultured bacterium
Lineage: Bacteria
Description: partial 16S ribosomal RNA
Rfam family: Bacterial small subunit ribosomal RNA
Source: RNAcentral
UACGUAGGGUGCGAGCGUUGUCCGGAAUUACUGGGCGUAAAGAGCUCGUAGGUGGUUUGUCGCGUUGUCCGUGAAAACUCACAGCUCAACUGUGGGCGUGCGGGCGAUACGGGCAGACUGGAGUACUGCAGGGGAGACUGGAAUUCCUGGUGUAGCGGUGGAAUGCGCAGAUAUCAGGAGGAACACCGGUGGCGAAGGCGGGUCUCUGGGCUGGAACUGACGCUGAGGAGCGAAAGCGUGGGGAGCAAACAGG